GACGAACGCUGGCGGCGUGCCUAAUACAUGCAAGUCGAGCGGACUUUCAAGAAGCUUGCUUUUUGAAAGUUAGCGGCGGACGGGUGAGUAACACGUGGGCAACCUGCCUGUAAGACGGGGAUAACUCCGGGAAACCGGGGCUAAUACCGGAUAAUAUCUUUCUUCGCAUGAAGGAAGGUUGAAAGGCGGCGCAAGCUGCCGCUUGCAGAUGGGCCCGCGGCGCAUUAGCUAGUUGGUGAGGUAACGGCUCACCAAGGCGACGAUGCGUAGCCGACCUGAGGGGGUGAUCGGCCACACUGGGACUGAGACACGGCCCAGACUCCUACGGGAGGCAGCAGUAGGGAAUCUUCCGCAAUGGACGAAAGUCUGACGGAGUAACGCCGCGUGAGCGAAGAAGGUCUUCGGAUCGUAAAGCUCUGUUGUCAGGGAAGAACAAGUACCGUUCGAAUAGGGCGGUACCUUGACGGUACCUGACCAGAAAGCCACGGCUAACUACGUGCCAGCCGCCGCGGUAA
RNAcentral lists this ribosomal RNA (515 nucleotides) under uncultured bacterium. Its description in RNAcentral is "partial 16S ribosomal RNA". It matches the Rfam family "Bacterial small subunit ribosomal RNA", at positions 28 to 523 of the family's 1533-position model. The record is from RNAcentral.